Molecule: long non-coding RNA, 949 nt
Organism: Hyla sarda
Lineage: Eukaryota; Metazoa; Chordata; Amphibia; Anura; Hylidae
Exons: 6
Source: RefSeq, a predicted model, not a curated record
GGGCCGGGCCCAGAGCUGAGAAGAGGGCCUCCUGGUGAAGAUAGACAGCCCGGAACGACUAACCCUCCCCACCGGACAGUCCCUGCAGCAUAGAUGGCCCAGAACAGCUCACCCUUCCUUCCCACCGAGGGGAGAUGAUGCGUGCGUCCUCAGUGCAGCCUCAGGGAGCGUCAGUCAGCAGAGACAGGUCAGGCUGGUGGUCCAGCAGUAUCAGGAAGCCAGUGGCAGCCAGAGUCAGUUCACGGACAUUACAAGUUCGGAUUUUUUGCAGAGCUUGAUUAAUUAACAAUCAAUCACACACUUGCAGACCAUAUAAGAAGACUGAGAAUGGGCUUUCAAACAACAUCAGCAGCUAUUGAAAAAAAGACUAAGGAAGUCUCGAAAUGUGUCUAGCCAGGUUACGGCAGGCCUAGGAGGAAUACAGUACACCACCAUAUCAGGAGCACAUAGCCACUUAUAUCUAUCAAGAAGCACAAUUGAAUUUCCAUAAAAGUCGGAGAGCGAUCAUCAUCUGUAAACGUCAGCAUCUACUUCCAGCGACAGACCUCCGCCACCUGACCUCUCCCUACCGAGGCCUGCCGUGAUCUUACCCCAGCCAGCCGGACAGUGAGGAGGAGACCGGCUUGAGCUUACUAUGGGUAAGUGUGAGAGCUGCGUGGGAUCUCCAUCAGAUACAUUUUAGCUGCGGAAUACUCCACCUCUGAACCUCCAUCAUGUGCACUGUUCUUUGGAAUCUGAUUGACAACAAAAUGACUCUGCUGCUCAAAAUUGGAGGACAAAGCUUUACAUUCCUUUCUAAAAAUAUAUUGGAUGGCAUUCUGAAGACAAAGAAGAAUUCUUCCUCCCCCUUCCUGCUGCUCAAAUCUUAUCUGAAAAUCAGCUUAGCUUUGUUCUGUGUCAAGCAAUAAAAGUCUAUGCAGGGGGAAGCUUCGCCCACCAGCUCUGGGAG